GAUGUUCCAAAAUUUAGUGAUUACCUGAUGUUUCAGAUGAUGAUCAGGAUGAUUGACAAGGAAGAAAUGUUCCACAGGCUUGCUAUCUGAUUCAUCGGGUCUGGUGAUUGCUCCACCCCAACACAUAGUUGAAAUAAAUGUCAAUGUUGCUCUACUGCAGUAUGCAUCAUUACCAGUUGUGGCCGCGGUGUGCAGAGACCGAUCGGGUAUUUAUAUUAGAUCUUGAGCUAUUUCUCUUGUGGGAAAUUUAGAUCCCACAACACUUGAAGCCUUUGCAUUCCGAGAAGCGCUGGCCCUUGCAGAUGACUUCUAGGAGCGAAGAAUUUUUGUUGCUUCAGAUUGCAAGAUUGUCAUUUGAUAAUAUCAAGCAGAAGAGUGCGGUUGUAUAUGGCGCAAUUAUCUGAGAAAUGUUAGAUCAUUCUAGAUUUUUUAUUAGUUGCCCUUCUAGUCAUGAAUUAGGAGGCUGGAUACCAAGACUCACAAUUUAGUGAAGCAUGCUCUCUCACUGGGGUUGGCCCUCAUGUUUGGUUAGGUAUCCCCGGUGAUCUUACUUUCGCCUUUGUAAAUAUUGUGACGAGUUACAUAAGCUUCAUGAGAUUGUCUACAAAAAUAUAUUUUAGAUUAUUGAAAA
Triticum urartu is the source of this 631-nucleotide non-coding RNA. The record is from RefSeq and is a predicted model, not a curated record. NCBI's taxonomy places the organism in Eukaryota, Viridiplantae, Streptophyta, Magnoliopsida, Poales, Poaceae.